RNAcentral lists this ribosomal RNA (253 nucleotides) under uncultured bacterium. Its description in RNAcentral is "partial 16S ribosomal RNA". It matches the Rfam family "Bacterial small subunit ribosomal RNA", at positions 524 to 776 of the family's 1533-position model. The record is from RNAcentral.
UACGUAGGUGGCAAGCGUUGUCCGGAUUUACUGGGCGUAAAGAGCGCGCAGGCGGUCGUUCAAGUCGCGUGUGAAAGCCCCCGGCUCAACUGGGGAGGGUCACGCGAUACUGAUCGACUCGAAGGCAGGAGAGGGUAGUGGAAUUCCCGGUGUAGUGGUGAAAUGCGUAGAUAUCGGGAGGAACACCGGUGGCGAAGGCGGCCUUCUGGACGGAUACUGACGCUGAAGCGCGAAAGCCAGGGGAGCGAACGGG